RNAcentral lists this ribosomal RNA (447 nucleotides) under uncultured bacterium. RNAcentral's name for it is "SSU rRNA". It matches the Rfam family "Bacterial small subunit ribosomal RNA", at positions 26 to 518 of the family's 1533-position model. The record is from RNAcentral.
AGAACGAACGCUGGCGGCAGGCUUAACACAUGCAAGUCGAACGGGCGUAGCAAUACGUCAGUGGCGGACGGGUGAGUAACACGUGGGAAUAUGCCUUUCGGUUCGGAACAACUCGGGGAAACUCGUGCUAAUUCCGGAUACGCCCUUACGGGGAAAGAUUUAUCGCCGAAAGAUUAGCCCGCGUUGGAUUAGCUAGUUGGUGAGGUAAUGGCCCACCAAGGCAACGAUCCAUAGCUGGUUUGAGAGAACGACCAGCCACACUGGGACUGAGACACGGCCCAGACUCCUACGGGAGGCAGCAGUGGGGAAUCUUGGACAAUGGGGGAACCCUGAUCCAGCCAUGCCGCGUGAGUGAUGAAGGCCUUCGGGUUGUAAAACUCUUUCGCGCGCGACGAUAAUGACGGUAGCGCGAGAAGAAGCUCCGGCUAACUUCGUGCCAGCAGCCGC